GCGGGUGUAGCUCAGUUGGUUAGAGCGCAAGAUUGUGGCUCUUGAGGUCGUCGGUUCAAGACCGAUCACUCGCCCCA
RNAcentral lists this transfer RNA (77 nucleotides) under Holosporales bacterium. RNAcentral's name for it is "tRNA-His". It matches the Rfam family "tRNA". From Rfam's summary of the family: Transfer RNA (tRNA) molecules are approximately 80 nucleotides in length. Their secondary structure includes four short double-helical elements and three loops (D, anti-codon, and T loops). Lineage: Bacteria; Pseudomonadati; Pseudomonadota; Alphaproteobacteria; Holosporales. The record is from RNAcentral.